AAUAAAGUGCCUGAUAAAAGGAUCACUCUGAUACUGUGAUUAUGUGUUUUCACCUUUAUUU
RNAcentral lists this transfer RNA (61 nucleotides) under Parhyale hawaiensis. RNAcentral describes it as "tRNA-Ile". The record is from RNAcentral. Lineage: Eukaryota; Metazoa; Arthropoda; Malacostraca; Amphipoda; Hyalidae.